UGGGGAAUAUUGGACAAUGGGCGAAAGCCUGAUCCAGCCAUGCCGCGUGUGUGAAGAAGGUCUUCGGAUUGUAAAGCACUUUAAGUUGGGAGGAAGGGCAUUAACCUAAUACGUUAGUGUUUUGACGUUACCGACAGAAUAAGCACCGGCUAACUCUGUGCCAGCAGCCGCGGUAAUACAGAGGGUGCAAGCGUUAAUCGGAAUUACUGGGCGUAAAGCGCGCGUAGGUGGUUUGUUAAGUUGGAUGUGAAAUCCCCGGGCUCAACCUGGGAACUGCAUUCAAAACUGACUGACUAGAGUAUGGUAGAGGGUGGUGGAAUUUCCUGUGUAGCGGUGAAAUGCGUAGAUAUAGGAAGGAACACCAGUGGCUAAGGCGACCACCUGGACUAAUACUGACACUGAGGUGCGAAAGCGUGGGGAGCAAACA
This 427-nucleotide ribosomal RNA is filed under the name uncultured bacterium. RNAcentral describes it as "partial 16S ribosomal RNA". It matches the Rfam family "Bacterial small subunit ribosomal RNA", at positions 355 to 774 of the family's 1533-position model. The record is from RNAcentral.